UUGAGCUAAGCAAAAGAGAAAAAGACAACAGCUUAACAUCCAAGCAGGCAGCAGCUCAGAGAUACCUAUGCCUGUCAAAUGUAUUUUACACUAAGGACUUUUGCACACAGAAUGGCUCAGUGCACUGCAUGCCUUCUUUGCUCUUGGAAGAAGUGCUAAUGACUGGUUGCCAUGAUCUCCUGCUUCCAUACUUUUCACCAUUUCCUUUCAACUCAUUUGCAGUAAUUUGCUGUCUUUCAGAGUUCACUGUAUUCUGGAUCUGUGAUCUUGGAUGUCUGUAGGAACUACCCCAAGAAGAAAUUAACAAAUCAGGAGCAAAUCUCUUCUGUGGAUAGAAAAUAGUUAUAGAAGUUCCUCUACCAGUAAAGCUGACAUCCCCUUUCCUGUAAUUCAAAUAUUUCUAUGACAAGAUAGCAGCACAUCAGGAGAAACAGCAGAUGCUGCUUCUCCUGGCUUCCCUAACCAGCAAGACACGCCCAAUUUAAGCUGAAAGAGAUGACACAGUCUUUCACCCGAGCACUACAGACCUUG
Coturnix japonica (Japanese quail) is the source of this 531-nucleotide non-coding RNA. Lineage: Eukaryota; Metazoa; Chordata; Aves; Galliformes; Phasianidae. The record is from RefSeq and is a predicted model, not a curated record.